GACGAACGCUGGCGGCGUGCUUAACACAUGCAAGUCGAACGAAGUGGCGAACGGGUGAGUAACGCGUAAUCAACCUGCCCUUCAGAGGGGGACAACAGUUGGAAACGACUGCUAAUACCGCAUACUGAAGGAGGGGAGUGCGUCGGGUUAGCUAGUUGGAGGGGUAACGGCCCACCAAGGCGGUGAGCAGUAGACGGGCUGAGAGGAUGAAAGGCCACAAUGGGACUGAGACACGGCCCAGACUGCUACGGGAGGCAGCAGUGGGGAAUCUUCCGCCAUGGACGACAGGCUGACUAAGCCACGCCGGGUGAGUGAUGACGGCCUUCGUGUUGUAAAGCUCUGUUAAUCGGGACGCGGUACCGGCAUAGAAAGCCACGGCUAACUACGUGCCAGCAGCCGCGGUAAUAC
Molecule: ribosomal RNA, 408 nt
Filed under: uncultured bacterium
Lineage: Bacteria
Description: partial 16S ribosomal RNA
Rfam family: Bacterial small subunit ribosomal RNA
Source: RNAcentral